Drosophila bipectinata is the source of this 883-nucleotide long non-coding RNA. RefSeq lists it as uncharacterized. The record is from RefSeq and is a predicted model, not a curated record. Lineage: Eukaryota; Metazoa; Arthropoda; Insecta; Diptera; Drosophilidae.
ACUAAACACUAUUUCAAAAUUUGUAAAAUAGUGGAAUUCGAUAUUGUAAAAAAAGGCGAGCGAUUUUGUUUUUUUAAAUUCUGUGUUUAAUUUGCAUAAAGCUUAUCGAUAAUACUAUUAAAGACUAAUGCCAGAAGUAAAAUUUUCUAUAUUCGCCUGAAUUUUACAAAAGCCACAUGGAAACCGGAUAUCGAAGUCACGGGGUGGAUCAUUCUGCUAUUGUAUAAAAAUUAAAAUACGAUUAUCGUAACAUACAAAUUGUAUAGUACCAUAUCGGAUCUAGUUUUCGGACAGUCCGUUCCCAAGGGGACAAAAAAAAAUAAUAAAAGUGGACAUUAGGUCCCCAAAAACGGGGGUUUUGAAAAUAAACCUCCACCCUAACUACAAGGCUUUUUAUAAAAGAAGAAUCCUAGUCUACAGGAAUGUAUGUAUAUUGCUUUAAUCUCCAUCAAAAAAAAAAAGCAACGUUUUUUAAAAAAGCAUGACGUGUUAAAGGGGAUAAUACUCCCCACAUUAGCAUUAAGCUCAAAGAUGACCAAUUAUUUUAACUUGUUCUAAUUUAUUAAUUGAUCCUCCGGGUAAGACAUUAUCCUACCGGAAAGAAUAAGAAUUGGUUAAAAAAUUAGGAUUUUUAAAAUGUGCGGAUCUCAGAUGUAUGAAGAGAAUGAAGUGGCCCUCUCCUACUCUCCUCGACACGAACUUCUCCUCACUGACAUUUUUCAAGACUCCAGUUUGACCAUGUUUGGGGAUCCAACGGGGUGAUGACUUAUCUGAUGACUUACUAUACCUCCCUUAGCAGAAUAGGUUUUAAAUGAAGAAGUGUUACUACAGCCACCUAAAUUCUGUGUUACAAAAAUCAAAUAAAAAAUAAUCUUUUGGCCAA